Molecule: RNA transcript, 2664 nt
Organism: Nymphaea colorata (pocket water lily)
Lineage: Eukaryota; Viridiplantae; Streptophyta; Magnoliopsida; Nymphaeales; Nymphaeaceae
Gene name: protein LPA3
Exons: 12
Source: RefSeq, a predicted model, not a curated record
UCUGUAGUAAGCACUCUUUUGUUUUGCGCUUCUCUGAUCUUGGUUCUUGAUGCCUAUCUUUGCACUCAUCUGCCAUUUACUUUCUUGUGGCGACGGCGUCUCUGGCCCCCACUGUCGACCCUCCCGCCAACCAACCAUAUCUUCCGUCGUCUCCUCUCCUCACGGGAGAACGAGAGUGAGAGAGAGAGGGAGAGGGAGAUCAGUCUGUAUGUGCGCAUCAGACACCUCGCUUGGUCUUGGGUGCCAUUAGCUGCUGUUAUACCACGCUUCUGCUUCUACCAUGAGCGCGUGCUCUUGGUACCUCGCUUCAACACACCCUGCAAGUCUCUCAAAAUCAAUAAGAGCAGGACAUCCCCUCAAUUCCCUCUCGCCCUCCGUUCAGUGGCAUGCACCUCUGAACGCUCCCACCUUCCCCAUAUUGAGGUCUUCUUCCACCAGAGUGCAUGCUAAGGCUGAAGCCGAGGGCACCACCUUCCAACGCCCCUCUGGUUCCGAUCCUAAAGCUGGAGUUGCAGUGUACAAGCCGAAGACCUACGAGGUUCUCGUGAACGACGCUGCGAAUUCCCUGGCUUAUGCCUUGGAUGAUGGCAAGGUUCGCCUGGAGAUCGAUUUUCCACCAUUGCCCAGCAGCUUCUCUUCAUAUAAGGGAUCCUCGGACGAGUUUAUUGAUGCUAACAUACAACUUGCACUUGCCGUUGUUAAGAAGCUGAAUGAAGCAAAGGGUAUCAAAGCAUGCAUCGUUUUCCCUGAUAGACCAGAAAAAAGAAGGGCCUCCAAGCUGUUUAAUACAGCGUUUAAAACGGUUAAUGGUUUACGUAUUGGUUGCUUGGAUGAUGUACCUGCUGGGCUUGUUUCUACUUUUUUCAAGUCUGUACGAAAUACACUGGAUUUUGAUUUUGAUGAUAAUGAGCAAGAGGAACAGGAUUCUGGUGAACCACCAUCGUUGUUUGUAUUUAUCAAUUGCAGCACUCGUGAUCUUCCCGUUAUAGAGAGUUAUGUGGAAAACUUUGCUGUGUCCACACCAGUUCUUCUUUUUAACUUGGAAUUGGAGACUUUGCGUGCCGACUUAGGUCUCUUUGGAUUUCCUCCUAAGGAUCUUCAUUAUCGGUUUCUCUCGCAGUUCAUCCCUGUGUUCUAUAUUCGAAUCAGAGACUACUCCAAGACCGUGGCAGUUGCACCUUAUAUUGUGAACUACAGUGGAGCCUUGUUCCGCCAAUAUCCUGGCCCUUGGCAGGUGAUGCUCAAACAGGCUGAUGGCUCCUAUGUUUGUGUUGCUGAAAGUUCUAGCCGUUUCACACUGGGCGAAGCAAAGGAAGAGCUCUUGAGGGUUCUUGGACUGCAAGAGGAAGAGGGGAGCUCAUUGGAGUUUCUCAGAAGGGGUUACAGGGUCUGUUAGUUCUUUGUUUGUCCUAGUGGAUCUUUCUUUUACUUUAUUGUUCCUUAUUUUUUUAAAUCAUAAAUCGUUCGACUAGAAGAAAAAGGGAAAAAGGAUAAAUGGUGAUAGUGGUAAAAAUGUGAGAAAGAAGAACUGAAGAAGCAGUCAGGCAGUGGUAACAGUCUCACUGAAGUAGCUGGUUAUUGUUAUAGUGUUGAUGGUGAUGGUGGUCAAAAGGGUUGUGAUUAAGUGGAGAACCGUGUAUGGUGAUACUUGAUGGCCACUAAGAACUGGUUGGAUGGCAUUGGUAGCAAAUAAGUUAUGGUUUUAGUGGUGGUGAUGAUGUUUGCAGAAGUGGUGACCGUUUUUGGUGGAAUCAGUGAUGGUGGCAGUGGUGGUGUUGAUGGUGAUCCUAGAGAUGCAGUAGUAAUGUCAGGGACCAGCAGCCGAAAAGGGGGUGGUGGUGAUUAUGGUCAAUAAGUGGUGAUGUGGUUAUUACAAAAAUAAUAAGCGGCAAUGGCAGUGAAGAAAAUGAUGGUGGUAAAAUUAAAGAAAUGGUAGUGACAUCAACAUGGUGGGAAGAAGAUAAUGACAUUGAGGUAUCUUCUGCAUGGCGGAGUUGACAAGACAAUCUUGCCUUCUAUGUAACUGGUAUGACUAACUGUGAAUAGCACGAAGUGGCCAGCAACACCAUCACGGAUUUUCUAAUCCAACUAAAUGACAGAUGAAAGCAGUAGAAGCCUGGGAAGAGAAAUAUGAAUCUUGACAUCAAGAAGCAUAAGUGUGGGAUUCGUGAUGCUUUCUGCCAUUGCAGUUGCAACCUCUCAUGUGGCACACAUUCUAAGCGAUAUGGUUAGGUCAAAGGUGACCCUCGGAGAUUCCAUGUAUUUGUUCCAUGCUACUACUGCUGCCUUUCUCAUGAUGCUCAUUCUUGCGUCUACCCAUUCUUCCAUUUUUGCAUGGCACAAGUUUUGCAUGGUAUGCGGAAGGCCUGCUAUCCUCGUGUCGGGCGGCAGAAUCGUGAAUGUUUCACCUGCUUGUUUUUAUGUCUCAAGAUCCAUCUGGGCCUAUUAGCUUUAGUAUCGGUGAUAAUUUGAGUCAUGAUAAAUUGAUAAUUAAACCUGGACAAGGUCUCUCUCUCUCUCUCUCGGUGUGUGUGUGUGGACGCGUGCUGGAUUUGCUAGUCUGUAAUCUAGUAAGACUGUCACAGGUGCAAUGUUGCAACAGACUUGACCCAACAUUUUAGGUGUAUUCAUCCCAGCUCAUUUAUUAAUCAUGCUUUUGGGUCA